UGCCCCGGUCCGGGAAGAUCCCACGUGCCGCGGAGUGGCUGGGCCCGCGAGCCAUGGCCGCUGGGCCUGCGCGUCUGGAGCCUGUGCUCCGCGACGGGAGGGGCCGCAGCAGUGAGAGGCCCGCGUACCGCAAAAAAAAAAAAAAUGUACCUCAAUAAAAUACAUCUUAGCCGUUGCUUGAAAAGCUUUUCCUUUAAUUUUUAAAUAGAAAUGUUCUUGGCUGUGGAAUUUAUUCUAAUUGAACUUGACCUGUAGAAGACAGGGUCCUGGCAAGCAACAGCUCAGCACCUAAUUAGGGGACAAAUGGAAGCCUGUGAAAACCCUCAAGGCUGCAGUGUGCCCCCAGCCGGGGAAGCGAGCGUCCUCAUUUCUGAAGCGGGGGACCAUCCCUGAGAUGGACGGGAGGAAACACGGAUGCCGCCGAAGACCCACCAGACAGAGGACGUAGCAAAAUCUACUUCCGGAUACACGCCAUUAGGUCUUGAAAACAAUUACCAUCAUUAGCUGUGUAUAAAAGCAAAUGAAACCAUAUAAAGUAUUGAUGUAAGUCAGAAAGAAAGUUGAAUACUACGACUGGAAGAGACAGGUAAAAAAUAAAGAACUAUGGGAACACGAAGGAAAAGUGAUAAAAGACACUGCCAUCAACUCAGGGGCUGAAAGCCACCCAGUGGUCCCGGACAAUGAACACUGCAGUGACAAAAGGGUCCAGUGGGACAGUGAACCCUGUGUCCACCACCAACUACUGGGAUGGAUCUCACACAUACUCAAACUAAAACCCAUUACAAGGAAAAGUGCCAGUUUCAGUGAAAGACAACAAAUGCGUUACAUCAGUUAUCUGCUAUCGUGCAGAGAAGUGAUAACUUACCGAAAGUGGGAUUGGAUAACCAAUGAUGGCAGUAUCAGGGAAAAAACAAAUUCCCCGGAGUACACGGCAAGCACUGCCUUAUUCAGAGGAACAGAGCAACAUAGGAACCAGUCAGAGAGACGAGACUGUCAUUUCGGUGAAGAACCAACAGAAGCUGACUACCACCAAUAAUGUACCAAGGCCAAAAUUUUCACAUCUGUAUCUUUCCUUUCUGGUAGGCAACCGAUACACCUAAAUCAUAUAAAACAUUCAAAAAAAACCCAAGACCAUGUCUUUCCUCUGAUUUUAAGCACGUUGAUAUUUGCUUGACUUCACCAAAAUGUACGAAAACAAAUGAUACAAUAAUUGGGAAUAAUAGACUUAAAAGCACUAUGCCUAAAUUUCUUGGACAAAGAUGUUCAAACAAGCAGAUCGGAGGUUCUGGACGUGAGUGUGGGGACAGAACCAAAUGCAUCGAUAAUAACAAUCUCAGUUUUGUUACCAUAUCCACAGCAAAAGUCCUUAGUCUCCCUGGGGGACUUGGACAUGAAGGCCAACCAGAGCUCUGCAAAGCACUGUGAACCAGAUCCAGGGUGACUGCCCUCUUGCUUACACAGCACCAGCCUGGAAAGAGGGCCCAAUUCUUAGGGCUCCCCGUCUCACUUCUACAAUCAGAUUCCUUUUAAAGGAUCUCACAGAUAGUUUUUGGAUACCGUUUCGCUGGCCUCUUAAAUGUUCUCUCCUUCAAAUAUAUCUCUAAGGUAGUUUUGCCAAAAAACGAUUCCGUCUCCUUAAACAGGCUCAUUAAAUAAGCUCCGAAGACGGCAGAUUUAGAGGCAAUUCUGUUUCACAUUUCUCUAAGUCAUUUUGCAAUGACCACUGCCAUGAAAAAGGACUUCCCACGUGUAUUUUCUUUGCGGGAGAUUUGUUUAUUCAAACGUAAUUACAUAACCACUAAGCGCCCUGCAACAAAAAAAAAAAGUUCUUUUUAACAUUCCUCAGCCUCAGGAUUAUUUGAUUUGUUAACCUGGCUCACUUUUUCCUGGCAUUAAAGGGAGAGUUAAAACAAAAAGCCAGUUUUUGAAAACCUUUCGCGCACUUGGGCAGAACCGCGGCCUCCGGGCACACGCGGGCAGGAUGAGUCAGUGGGAUACACUGCAAAGAAAUGAGAUUAGUUGUGCCCAAAGCUGCCUCGCUGGACACCAGUUGCUAGAAGGGAACGUGGGCCCCUUCGGUAAGCAGGUGCAGGGCCCACCCCAGGCACUCAUUCCAUUUGCAGGACUCAUCACACAUUUGCUCCAGGCCCGUAAGACAGUUCGCAGGUCCUGGGUGCGCCCCGCGGAGGCGCAAGGCAGCCGCAAGCAGAGCGCGCAACGUCGCAGCGCAGCGGCCGCCAGGCCCCGUGGGGUCUUGCAAGGUUCAAAUUCCGCCUCAGGAUCCGGUUAAAGAGCAGGCUUGUUUUUCUUGUAUUAGGGAAGUCAC
Long non-coding RNA from Physeter macrocephalus (sperm whale), 2326 nucleotides. RefSeq lists it as uncharacterized. The transcript has 3 exons. Lineage: Eukaryota; Metazoa; Chordata; Mammalia; Artiodactyla; Physeteridae. The record is from RefSeq and is a predicted model, not a curated record.